RNAcentral lists this long non-coding RNA (236 nucleotides) under Elaeis guineensis (African oil palm). RNAcentral's name for it is "long non-coding RNA (EGUI_LNC072820)". Lineage: Eukaryota; Viridiplantae; Streptophyta; Magnoliopsida; Arecales; Arecaceae. The record is from RNAcentral.
CUCCAAAAACCAUCAAAGUUAAGCUACCGCCUAAGUUCGAAGCUGGGUUCUCCCUCUUGAGAACUUUCUUUCGAAGAAUCACCGUGAUGACCUCAUCCAUCUUGAUGGUCUUCUUUCCUACUAGAGAGCAGUCACCAAGGACUCAUGCGAAGGGAGAAGUGAUGCUAAUAAGACUAGUGCUCUGGUCUUCCUCUCAACUUUCUCACCAAUGCUGAGGAGAUCGAUGAGAAUCUUUC